GGAUGAUCCCUGUCAGUUGGAGAUUAUUCAGUAAACAAGAUGAUAUCAUGGCACUACAUAUUCAACCCAAUUUGGACAUUUGAUGACAUCAGAAAAGGAACAAGAGAGGUGAGUGUUAUAUGAACAAACGUUUUUGGAAGCAUUGACCAAAACAAUAAACAAAACAAAACCCUCAAUUACAAGGGUGUUUGUGUGUGUGUUUUGACACAGCCAAAAAUGUUCCUGAAAGUUUCAACUCAACCCUAUGCGCUAAGUAAGUUGAAUGUUGGACUCCAUGUUUCUGUAAAGUUUUAAAUUUUCACAACCUGCUCACCUUACACUGUCAAAAUCUGCUUUUUUAGCACUUUUCUCUUGGACAUUACAUGCAAACUACUAAUGGGUGAAGAAAACUGAAACAGAUGCCAGAAAAUUAAAAUCAAUUGAUUUUCUCCAGAAGAUUAACAAGAUCUUUUAUCUUGGUGACAAACAGUUCUAUCCUAAAUAAGCAUCAAUUUGACCUCAUGGCUUUGAAAGGUUGCUAUUAAUAACCAAGUAAUAUUCAUUAAGAAUCAUGCAGUUUUCAGCAAGUUAGCUGGAUAGGUUAAACAAAGGUCUUCCAUUAUUAAAAUGAAACAGCUUGUAAGGCCUAAAGGAGGAAUCAUUAUGAAACGGUAAUCAGAUAGCAAAAUAUGCUUGGUUCUAACGGAUGCAAGGUAAUAUACAAUGAGCCAUUAGUUUUAAAUUAACUGUUGGUGUCAAAUGAAUAUAUUUAAUAAUACAAAUAGCAAUGGACAAACUCCCUAGUCUCAAUUCAGAAAGAUGCUGGCAAUUAAAAAACAAUAUUGAAGAAUGCUUCAAAAAGCUUCUUCCAUCUCCCCAUCAAGCAUUAUAAAUUUGUUCGUAAUUGCUAAUCCCACACUGAGUCCUCACACACCGUUCCUUACUUGCUGGUUGCAACUGCAGUGGUUGCAGCAAAAGGGAAGGAUGUCUCUCUUACCUGCUCUUCCUCCAGUCUGGACCAAAUGCUGUUAUGGCAGCAUCCCCUGGCACUAGGGACUUCAGAAAACAGCAUUUCACUGGGGCAUCUAAUGUCCCAGAAAAUUCAUUGAAAAUUGAAAUUGAAAAGAACCCGCAAGGAAAAUACAUCCUGUCUGCAUCGCCUUCUCCCCAUUUCCAGCCAUGUCUAAUUAGGAGUUUAAACGAUCAUACUGCUGCCACUUUCAGGUGGCUUGGGGCCACCACCUCUCACAGUGAGGGAUUGAUUAUCUUCUUGCCUCAACCUGCUGUCCCACUCUUACUCAGUUUCAUGAUCCAGUGUGCAGGUGGUUGCCCAAACCUAUCCAAGUACUAUGUCCCCAUUCUCAGACCACACCAAGUGAAACACAUCCAACAAAAUACCACUAACCAUUGCAGUUGACACCUCAAACCGUUGACUUGCUACAACAGUGCAAUUCUGGUGGAUGCAAGCAAUUUUAUCCCCAAAUUGCUUCACAGACAAGUCACAAUGCACCUCCAAUAGUUUCCACCCCUCAGUUGGGCCAGAACGUUGCAUGCUCUGGAUCAAUCAGGAAAGCUGCACAAGACAACCCGAGAAAAUACAGUGGCCUUCACUGCUGCCAAAUAGGCUCUAAAAUGAGACUGCACUAGUGUCUGGUUGCAAAAUAUUGUAGUACUGUAUAUGUAUGCUUGACCCAUCUGUAAAGGUAAUAUGUAUAGAGAUGCAAGCCCUGAAGGCCAGAGAGGAUUCUGGAAGCCUAAAGACAUCUGUGUCUUUGGAGAUGAGUCAUUCUGAGAGAAGGUUUUUGAGAGGCCUGUAUUAUGUGAGCAUAAGUUGAGAAAUACAACACCUGUUGUUUGCCUCAACUGGAUUACUGUCUUCUCAGAAAAAUGCCUGUCUGGCUAAGCUGCUGUAGGCCACAAAGCUACUUAAGAAUAUGUUAAUUUUGUGGAAGGAGCAAUCUCCAGAUUCUUGUAGCCCAGUUUAUUAUUUUGGGAGCUUCUGCAGAUUUGGAAGAAUGUCUGUUUCUUUUCUUUCUUUUCUUUUGUUUCAUUUCCGGAUUGCCACCAUUUAGCUAGGCAAGUAGGUUGAUCAGCAAGGAACAAUUUGAUACCUCUUCCCUGACUUAUACCAGCCUGGCUGACCAAAAAUCAGUUGUCCACUUGCAGUCAGUCCACCUGGCUGCAUCAGGGGAAAGGAGAGAGAGUAAGGCCUUCUUCAUCAGUCUAUCAUUUGGUUCCAUGCCCUCCUAAGACUGUCUCCUCCAGUUAGUAUGGAUUCACAGCCACAUUGAAAAAAUAAAGAGGACACAAAAACCCAAAGAAUAAAAACAACUGGAAUAUUUCAGUAGCUCUGUCACUAACAAGUUGCCUAUACCAGUUAUCCAUCAGGAGAUCAGUUGGAAGAAGCCUUGACAGAUAUAAAAAGACACAACCCAGAUAACAGAUUUGAACCAGAUGGCUAAAGGAACAAGCCAAGUUUGAUACUGUUUUUGUUUUGGAAGAUGGCCUGAAGGCUUUUGAUGUUGAAAGAAAGAGUAAAAAUAUAUCAGACCUCACCAGAAUGGUCAAAACACAUGAAAAUUGUCCCCAGGAUUUUAAGUACAUUGGUUCCUGAAUUAUGAUGGUGAUGAUAAUGAUAUUUCAAUAUAUAUUACUCCCAGAGGAGCCCAGGGCAGCAAACACAUCAUCAUCGUUUUUUAAGCAUUCUAGAGACAAUUAAAAUACAGUGGUACCUCUAGUUACAAACUUAAUUUGUUCUGGAGGUCUGUUCUUAACCUGCGGCGUGCUUUUGUCAAUGUGGCCUUCCGCUGCCGCUGCGCCACCAACACGCAAUUUCCGUUCUCAUCCUGGGGAAAGUUCGCAACCCAAGGUACUACUUCCAGGUUAGCGGAGUUUGUAACCCAAAACGUUUGUAACUCAAAGCAUUUGUAUUCCAAGGUACCACUGUAUUCUAUAAACAGUUCAAAAUAUUAUCUCAAUACCAUAUUAACAGGAACAGGAAAAACCCUUUUAACCUAUCUGAGCUAGGCAGCUAGAAGGCAGGGCAGGGUCGGAUACACAGGAGGGGAGACCUAUUAGGAACUGCCCUCCUUCCAGGUCCUGCUGGGUAUUUGCUCUCCUAUAACAUAACUGGAGAUUACUCAUUAUAUUUCAAGUUGUGAAGAAAUUUAAAACCUGCCCCAAGGUGCGUGUGUGUCUGCCUGCUUAGCAAGAGAUGUGUAUCCCCAGAGUCUGGUUCAGCACAAAACCUUUAAUCUUGGAUUUGUUACAGGUUUCUGACUGACAGUGAGCUAUUGGAAUGGCCUAAAGAAGGAGAGCUCUGUGUGUUUCUUUUUGAGGAAUUAUAGAUGGGCAAACAUGGACUGCAUUAACUUGAAAUAGUGUGGGG
Molecule: non-coding RNA, 3367 nt
Organism: Podarcis lilfordi (Lilford's wall lizard)
Lineage: Eukaryota; Metazoa; Chordata; Lepidosauria; Squamata; Lacertidae
Source: the annotation of a GenBank genome assembly